AACGAACGCUGGCGGCAUGCCUAACACAUGCAAGUCGAACGAGAUCUUCGGGUCUAGUGGCGCACGGGUGCGUAACGCGUGGGAAUUUGCCCUUUGGUUUGGAAUAACAGUUGGAAACGGCUGCUAAUACCGGGUGAUGACGAAAGUCCAAAGAAUUAUCGCCAGAGGAUGAGCCCGCGUAGGGUUAGCUAGGUGGUGUGGUAAAGGCGCACCAAGGCGACGAUCCUUAGAUGGUCUGAGAGGGUGAUCAGCCACACUGGGACUGAGACACCGCCCAGACUCCUACGGGAAGCAGCAGUGGGGAAUAUUGGACAAUGGGCGAAAGCCUGAUCCAGCAAUGCCGCGUGAGUGAUGAAGGCCUUAGGGUUGUAAAGCUCUUUUACCCGGGAUGAUAAUGACAGUACCGGGAGAAUAAGCUCCGGCUAACUCCGUGCCAGCCGCCGCGGUAA
RNAcentral lists this ribosomal RNA (449 nucleotides) under uncultured bacterium. Its description in RNAcentral is "partial 16S ribosomal RNA". It matches the Rfam family "Bacterial small subunit ribosomal RNA", at positions 29 to 523 of the family's 1533-position model. The record is from RNAcentral.